GUCAGGAUAGUGCAGGGCUAGGGUGUUCGACUCCCACUCGAAAGGUACAGAGUUCUAGUCUCAAUGUUCGUGGCCGA
Merluccius polli (Benguela hake) is the source of this 77-nucleotide non-coding RNA. The record is from the annotation of a GenBank genome assembly. NCBI's taxonomy places the organism in Eukaryota, Metazoa, Chordata, Actinopteri, Gadiformes, Merlucciidae.